UGAGGAAUAUUGGUCAAUGGGCGCAAGCCUGAACCAGCCAUCCCGCGUGAAGGAUGAAUGUACUAUGUAUUGUAAACUUCUUUUCUGCAAAGAGAAAGGGCGCUACGUGUAGUGUUUUGACGGUAUUGCAGGAAUAAGCAUCGGCUAACUCCGUGCCAGCAGCCGCGGUAAUACGGAGGAUGCAAGCGUUAUCCGGAUUCAUUGGGUUUAAAGGGUGCGUAGGCGGCUUUUUAAGUCAGUGGUGAAAUCCUGCGGCUCAACCGUAGAACUGCCAUUGAUACUGAAGAGCUUGAAUGUAGUUGAGGUAGGCGGAAUGUGCAGUGUAGCGGUGAAAUGCUUAGAUAUUGCACAGAACACCGAUUGCGAAGGCAGCUUACCAAGUUACAAUUGACGCUGAGGC
RNAcentral lists this ribosomal RNA (400 nucleotides) under uncultured bacterium. RNAcentral's name for it is "bacterial SSU rRNA". It matches the Rfam family "Bacterial small subunit ribosomal RNA", at positions 355 to 752 of the family's 1533-position model. The record is from RNAcentral.